Neolamprologus brichardi is the source of this 663-nucleotide non-coding RNA. The record is from RefSeq and is a predicted model, not a curated record. NCBI's taxonomy places the organism in Eukaryota, Metazoa, Chordata, Actinopteri, Cichliformes, Cichlidae.
GAAGCAACUCAAAGAAAACUAUCAGAACAUAAAACAACAAUUGGACAGCCUGAAGGCUGAGCGUGAGGAAGGAGUGAACUUCAGUUCUGAACUGGUGAGGGAAUACUUGAGCCUUAUGGACCCGUUGAUCGUACUGAUGAAGAAAUCUGUGAAGGUUUUACCUGAUGAUUUUCCUCGAGUUGACACAUUUAUGGAGAACAUUAAGAAUUACUUGAAUAAAAUACAGGCUAACACUGACAGGGAGAAUGAGGAGUUGGGUGAGAAAAUAGAGGAAAGUGAAAUGAAACUGGGAGAACUGAAAAAACUGAUUGAAGUCCUUGAGGAAAAGCAAGCUGAAUUGUAACUUCCAUGUCAGUCAUUUCAUUUUUCUUUAAUAAUGCAUCUUUUGUAUCUGUGGUUAGUUUCUAUUUCAUAUAGUACAGCUUUGCUUAACUUCAGUUUAACUUUUUUAGAGCUGUCCUUCUUUACUGUCUGAUAUAAAAAAAAAACAAAACAUUUCACUAUCAGCUACCAUUGUGCACAGGCUUAUAUGUGCUGAUGACAACUUUUAAGAAUACAUUUCCAGUUGGUACUUAUUUUUCUGCCAUUACUUAAAUAUAGAAGUGGAAACAAUGUUUAUAUAAACUGCAAACUGCCACACAAUAAAGACAUUUACCAACUGCU